Molecule: ribosomal RNA, 485 nt
Filed under: uncultured bacterium
Lineage: Bacteria
Description: bacterial SSU rRNA
Rfam family: Bacterial small subunit ribosomal RNA
Source: RNAcentral
AAUGAACGCUGGCGGCGUGCUUAAUUACAUGCAAGUCGAACGGAAUCCAAGGAGCUUGCUCCGAAAGAUUUAGUGGCGAACGGGUGAGUACCACGUGAGCAACCUGCCCCGAAGAUUGGGAUAACACCGGGAAACCGGUGCUAAUACCGAAUAUCUCCCCUCAAUCGCAUGGUUGAGGGAAGAAACGAAUUUUGCUUCGGGAGGGGCUCGCGGUCCAUCAGCUUGUUGGCGGGGUAACGGCCCACCAAGGCAACGACGGAUAGCUGGUCUGAGAGGACGAUCAGCCACACUGGAACUGAGACACGGUCCAGACUCCUACGGGAGGCAGCAGUAGGGAAUCUUGCGCAAUGGGCGAAAGCCUGACGCAGCAAACGCCGCGUGAGGGACGAAGGCUUUCUGAGUUGUAAACCUCUUUCGACAGGAACGAUUGUGACGGUACCUGUAGAAGAAGCACCGGCCAACUAUGUGCCAGCCGCCGCAGUAAC